Molecule: transfer RNA, 76 nt
Filed under: Acidobacteriota bacterium
Lineage: Bacteria; Pseudomonadati; Acidobacteriota
Also listed under: 2 other names
Description: tRNA-Thr
Rfam family: tRNA
About the family: Transfer RNA (tRNA) molecules are approximately 80 nucleotides in length. Their secondary structure includes four short double-helical elements and three loops (D, anti-codon, and T loops).
Source: RNAcentral
GCCGAUGUAGCUCAGUUGGUAGAGCGCGUCCUUGGUAAGGACGAGGUCACCGGUUCAAUCCCGGUCGUCGGCUCCA